This 331-nucleotide unclassified non-coding RNA is filed under the name soil metagenome. RNAcentral's name for it is "partial contains 5.8S ribosomal RNA, internal transcribed spacer 2, and large subunit ribosomal RNA". The stretch from base 1 to 120 matches the Rfam family "5.8S ribosomal RNA", at positions 35 to 154 of the family's 154-position model. The record is from RNAcentral.
GAUGAAGAACGUAGUGAAAUGCGAUAAGUAGUGUGAAUUGCAGAAUUCAGUGAAUCAUCGAAUCUUUGAACGCACAUUGCGCCCCCUGGUAUUCCGGGGGGCAUGCCUGUUCGAGCGUCAUUUCACCACUCAAGCCUCGCUUGGUAUUGGGCAACGCGGUCCGCCGCGUGCCUCAAAUCGACCGGCUGGGUCUUCUGUCCCCUAAGCGUUGUGGAAACUAUUCGCUAAAGGGUGCUCGGGAGGCUACGCCGUAAAACAAACCCAUUUCUAAGGUUGACCUCGGAUCAGGUAGGGAUACCCGCUGAACUUAAGCAUAUCAAUAAGCGGAGGA